Molecule: ribosomal RNA, 274 nt
Filed under: uncultured bacterium
Lineage: Bacteria
Description: partial 16S ribosomal RNA
Rfam family: Bacterial small subunit ribosomal RNA
Source: RNAcentral
AUACGGAGGGUGCAAGCGUUAAUCGGAAUUACUGGGCGUAAAGGGUGCGUAGGCGGCUUGAUAAGUCGGAUGUGAAAGCCCCGGGCUUAACCUGGGAAUUGCAUUCGAUACUGUCAGGCUAGAGUAUGUCAGAGGUUGGCGGAAUUCCUGGUGUAGCGGUGAAAUGCGUAGAUAUCAGGAGGAACACCAGUGGCGAAGGCGGCUAACUGGGGCAAUACUGACGCUGAGGCACGAAAGCGUGGGGAGCAAACAGGAUUAGAUACCCUAGUAGUCC